GGGGGCAGAAUUGAGGCAAAUGUUCAGGCGCGCAUACAAAUUUUCUAUUUUUCGGUCUUCUCCUUCUCUAACUUAACGUGACUCUCCCUCUCUCAGUGACUCAAUCUCUGUUUCAGUUUCAUUUGCUUCUCCCUCUCUUAAUUUGCGCCUCUUCCUCUCUCAACUCUCAGUCUCCAUUUUCAUUCCUCCUCCUCUUCACUUCCUCCAGGUUUGUUCCAUGUUUUUUCUUUGUUAUUUUUUCUAUUUUGUUGCUGAAUGUUGAUGCUUGUUAAUGGGUGAAUCAAUGAGUUGAUUAUUUAAAUUCCAAACUGCAAUUUAUAAUUGUUGAUUAUCCCUAAUUUUGAUUUCUCAAUCCCUAAUUUAGAAUUGUUGAUUCUUCUCUUUGUUUGUCCAAAGAGAAUUGUUAAUUUCAGAAUUUUGAUUCUAUGUUGUAUAAGUUGAUCAAGUCCAAUGUAAUAACUUGAAUAAUGAGAAGGUAAGGAUUUCUUAGGAUUAUUACUUCAAGAGGCUCAAAUUUUCCUAAAUAGCUUAAAACAAGUUAAAUACUUUCAUGGAUGUGUGAAUAAAUUAGAAACUUUGCUCAUUGUUUGAUAUAUCAAUAUAGCAUAAUUGUUAUAACCACUUUGUAGUAUUUUUGGGCGCCUGUUGGUGUGUUUGUUUGGCCUGUGAUGCUUUGAUUUGGCUAAGUUGUUAUAGCAGCAUUUUUUAGCUUGUCAUGUAGGUGUUUUUGAGGGGCUUUGCUGUCAUGUAGCUCUGUCAUUUUUUAACUGCAUUUUUUGUUAAAAAAUUCAUGAAUAAAUUUAAAAAAAAUGGCUUAAAUAUGAAAAUUGUCCCUGCAAAUAUCUAACAUUUUGGUUUUUAGUCCCUGUAAAAAUAUUUUUUUGGUUUUAGUCCCUGCAAAUAUAAAAAAUUUGGUUUUGGUCCUUGGUAUUUUGUUUUAGUCCUUGUAAAAUUGAUUCAUAUUGGAUUUAGUCCUUGUAAUAUGUAGAAUAUUUGAUUUUAGUCCCUCAAAAUGAGGAUUAAAAUGAAUAUUUUAGGGACCAAUUUCAAUAUGAAAUGAUUUUACAAAGAUUAAAACAAAAUACCAAGGAUCAAAACCAAAUAUUCUAUAUUUGCAGGGACUAAAACAAAAAAAAUAUUUUUAUAGGGACUAAAUCCAAAACGCCAAAUAUAUACGGGGACCAUUUCCAUAUUUCAGCCUAAAAAAAAAUACACAUUUCAGCUAAAAUGCAUUCCUUUACAUCUUAUAUUGUAUAGUGUGAUUACUACUGUAAUUUUGUGCAUUCAAAAUUAUUGUUAAAAGAUUCUGAUAUUGAAUAUUGUUAUAGUUUCUGAUAAAGCCAUUAGCGCAGAUGUUUAUUCAAAAUUAUAUUUCUGAUAAAGCCAUUAACGCAGAUGUUUAUAGUUUCUGAUAAAGCAUUACUGCAUUCAAAAUUAUUCGAACAUUCACUCGAAAGAGGUCGUAGAAAGGACAUUUACCUCCUAAUUUUAUUUAGGAUGCUUUUUUUAGGUUAUAUUUCAUCUUUCUUAUUUCAAAUUGUACUUUUGUUGAAAAAAUGACGAACCUCUUUUAUUUUAAUUUAUG
This 1585-nucleotide long non-coding RNA is filed under the name Medicago truncatula (barrel medic). RNAcentral describes it as "long non-coding RNA (MTRU_LNC007250)". The stretch from base 893 to 1121 matches the Rfam family "MIR2630 microRNA precursor family". The record is from RNAcentral. Lineage: Eukaryota; Viridiplantae; Streptophyta; Magnoliopsida; Fabales; Fabaceae.